CGUCCCUUCUGCGACUCGUAGAGAGAAACGUCGACGGAAAAGAAGAUUCAAGCGACGACAACAAAGGGCUUCUAAAGCGAUCUUGCCGUGCCGCACAGUGUCCAAUCAAGUUUACGAAGACAAAAUUUCUGCAAAUGAAGAGCAAAUCUUGAGUGCAUUGGGCCGGUUAAUACUGCCAAAACUUACCCCACCUGCUGACCACAUCGCCCAGCGUGCAUUUACUCGCCGACGGCGCCGCCGACAACCGACAGAUAAGGCCGAAUUUGCCAUUAAAACUCCCACACAAAAAACCACAACGAGUGCGGCAAAUAAACAACGUGGGCCAGCUGUUAUCUGUGGCGGCCAAAAAGUCAAUGAACUUUUCGCAAGAGGGGGAAGAAAAAUCAGCAGGAGAGAGAUGAGAGUGGCGCCACAACCAAGUUCGCCAUCAAGCCAGGAGAGGGAGAAGGAAAAAUCAGCACACAAAGAACCAAGACCUCGCCCUCGCCGCAUGCGAAAAACAACAACAACAAGGCCGGAUUCACGCGUGAUUAUGGUGCCCACGACGUUUUUCCUUGAGGACAGCGCCAGCUCAGGAUCUGCACAGUCUACGUGCAGUACGUCGUCCUGGCAAUCGUCCUGGAGAUCAUCCAGUCACAGCUGACCACAGCCGCCAGUCAAAAGAGGGGGAUUUGGUGUGGAAUAAUUAUUUUAUUCCUCUCUUAAUUUGUUUGUUUUGACUGUGGCUGUGUCAUCGGAGAACUUCAUUGUUUUUUUUAUUAUUAUUAUUCAAUUAAUUUUCGGCUUACAAUUAAAUUCAUUUUUUAAGGGCUUUCUUUUUAAUUAUUUUUUUUUAUUUCUGGCAAUUGUUUUGAGUUGAAUUCUUUUAAAUAAAUAUUGCGUUUAUUUUAAAUUUAAAGUAGCUUUAAAUUUACAAAUAAUUAUUAUAAAUUCAAUUGGAAUUAGCUUGUACAAUUCAUGGGAUUCCAAUUCACUUCAAGGGAAUUUAUAAAGGCAUUUUGGAAUUCAACUGCAGAUUCACAGAACUUUCUAGAUGCAUCUAGAAAGUUCUCAAUGUAAAUCAAAUGGGUGGGUGGGUUUUGCGCGACCCUCCCAGGGCUGCUACCCGCGCUAUAAAAGGCGCUCCGUCCGCUGGCUCGAUGCAGAAGGCUGACAGACCUCAGAGAAAUCCGAGGACACCUGGACUUCCAGUGCAGUUUCGGACACCCGUCCGAACCCUUCGCACUCGUCCGAGCCGUCCCAAGGCCCCGACCGCUGUCUUGUCCCGACGCUGUCUCGUCCGAGGACAGCCGGAAGGCCGACCGCGUCCCGAGCCCCUCGAGCGGCACGCCUGUGUCCAUCGUACUGUCCGGGGUGUGGCCGAGCCGUCCGAAGCCGUACGGAGCAGUUUUGCCAGCUCCUUCCUGUCCGAGGAAUCGGGCGCCGACGUGGCACGCCGCCAGCGAGCGCUCGGACGAAGGCGUCCGAACGUCCGCCGCCAGAGACCCGCACGCCGUGGGCCCCGGCCGCGCCGAGAGCCGCCGCCGACCUGCAGGGAGCCGUCCGGGUUCCCAGCAAGGACGUUUCCAGGGCAGCCUGCCGGCCUACCCAGGGAACACCGCUCCCAUUUGUUGAUUUUUAAGUGACACUAUACGGACAAUUUCGAGCCAGUGAAUUUACCCUAUCCAGCCAGAAUUGUUGUGAAUACAAUAAAGCCCGUGUGUAAGCCAA
This is a long non-coding RNA of Neocloeon triangulifer, 1710 nucleotides long. RefSeq lists it as uncharacterized. The transcript has 2 exons. Lineage: Eukaryota; Metazoa; Arthropoda; Insecta; Ephemeroptera; Baetidae. The record is from RefSeq and is a predicted model, not a curated record.